Molecule: long non-coding RNA, 650 nt
Organism: Quercus robur (English oak)
Lineage: Eukaryota; Viridiplantae; Streptophyta; Magnoliopsida; Fagales; Fagaceae
Exons: 2
Source: RefSeq, a predicted model, not a curated record
UCUCUCUCUCAAAAAUCUUUAUUCAGAUUUUUUAUUUAUGCUCCGUUGAAGAUUUAAAGAUUGAAGGGGUUUUCAAAAUUCACAAAUCUCUCAAUUCCUCAAGUUGAACAUCAUUUUAAAACUAAAGAAAUAAACACAACAAGAAGAGUGAAAAUCAUUCGAUUUUCACCAUCUGAAAAGCAAAAAAAGAAAAGAAAAAACACAUGCAGAUCUGAAAAUUUUCAAUGAUGAUAGAUUUCGACAGAGAGGGGGACGCGAAAUCUGAAAAAUUUUGUGGGUAAGCUUUUAAUGAAAAGAAUCUGAGAUUUGAAACCUCAAUGACGAAAAAGCUCACUGAUUUCGAACUUGAUUUGAAAAUCGAAAAUGGAGAACAAUUGAUUUUCUUGCAAGCACACGAUAGGGUCAUCAAUGGUGAGAUUUAACUCUUCACAGAUGGUUUGGGAUAAUUUAGUUUGACUAAUAUGGUCGGUUUUGGGCUUUCCAUUUAUGCUCUACAUUUUCAGUUUGGCGUUGUGAUGCUGCAUAGUUGCAGAGUGGUGUGGUGGUGCUGCACAAUUGCAUAGUGAGAGAAAAAGAAGAGGCAGGUGUCAUUCAUCUAUCUAAAAACGGGAGGAAACAGGGGAAAUAAAAACCGGAGGUGAGCCGCUCCC